This is a non-coding RNA of Homo sapiens (human), 148 nucleotides long. It matches the Rfam family "Metazoan signal recognition particle RNA". Rfam says of the family: The signal recognition particle (SRP) is a universally conserved ribonucleoprotein. It is involved in the co-translational targeting of proteins to membranes. NCBI's taxonomy places the organism in Eukaryota, Metazoa, Chordata, Mammalia, Primates, Hominidae. The record is from Rfam.
GCCAGGCAUGGUGGCGCGUGCCUGUAAUCCCAGCUACUUGGGAGGCUGAGGCAGGAGAAUCGCUUGAACCUGGGAGGCAGAGGCUGCAGUCAGCUGAGAUCGCACCACUGCACUCUGGCCUGGGUGACAGAGUGAGACUCUGUCUCAA